UCGGGAAUUUUGGGCAAUGGGCGCAAGCCUGAUCUAGCCAUGCCGCGUGAGUGAAGAAGGCCUUCGGGUUGUAAAGCUCUUUUACCAGGGACGAUAAUGACGGUACCUGGAGAAUAAGCCCCGGCAAACUUCGUGCCAGCAGCCGCGGUAAUACGAAGGGGGCUAGCGUUGUUCGGAAUUACUGGGCGUAAAGCGCACGUAGGCGGAUUGUUAAGUCAGAGGUGAAAUCCCGGAGCUCAACUUCGGAACUGCCUUUGAUACUGGCAAUCUAGAGUCCGGAAGAGGUUAGUGGAAUUCCCAGUGUAGAGGUGAAAUUCGUAGAUAUUGGGAAGAACACCAGUGGCGAAGGCGGCUAACUGGUCCGGUACUGACGCUGAGGUGCGAAAGCGUGGGGAGCAAACAGGAUUAGAUACCCCCGUAGUCCCUGAGCGGGCUGGCAAGGCG
Molecule: ribosomal RNA, 444 nt
Filed under: uncultured bacterium
Lineage: Bacteria
Description: bacterial SSU rRNA
Rfam family: Bacterial small subunit ribosomal RNA
Source: RNAcentral